GGGUCAGUAGGUUGGUCGUGCCACCGGUACGUACUGGUCUCACUGAUUCCUCCUUCCUGAAGAACCGUAAUGCCAUUAAUUUGGUGUUGCGGGGAAAGAGGACUGUUACUUUGAAAAAAUUAGAGUGUUUAAAGCAAGCUAACGCUUGAAUACAUUAGCAUGGAAUAAUGAAAUAGGACGAUCGAUCCUAUUUUGUUGGUCUCUAGGAUUGACGUA
RNAcentral lists this ribosomal RNA (216 nucleotides) under Glomeromycotina sp. RNAcentral's name for it is "partial small subunit ribosomal RNA". The stretch from base 40 to 216 matches the Rfam family "Eukaryotic small subunit ribosomal RNA", at positions 686 to 864 of the family's 1831-position model. Lineage: Eukaryota; Fungi; Glomeromycota. The record is from RNAcentral.